This 450-nucleotide ribosomal RNA is filed under the name uncultured bacterium. Its description in RNAcentral is "partial 16S ribosomal RNA". It matches the Rfam family "Bacterial small subunit ribosomal RNA", at positions 338 to 795 of the family's 1533-position model. The record is from RNAcentral.
CCUACGGGGGGCAGCAGUAGGGAAUAUUGGACAAUGGGCGCAAGCCUGAUCCAGCCAUGCCGCGUGAGUGAAGAAGGCCCUCGGGUUGUAAAGCUCUUUUGUCCGGAAAGAAAAGCAAUCGGUUAAUACCCGGUUGUUCUGACGGUACCGGAAGAAUAAGCACCGGCUAACUUCGUGCCAGCAGCCGCGGUAAUACGAAGGGUGCAAGCGUCGCUCGGAACUAGUGGGCGUAAUUCGUUCGGUGGGAUGUGAAAGCCCUGGGCUCAACCUGGGAAUGGCAUUGGAUACUGGCGGGCUAGAGUGCGGUAGAGGGUAGUGGAAUUCCCGGUGUAGCAGUGAAAUGCGUAGAGAUCGGGAGGAACAUCUGUGGCGAAGGCGACUGCCUGGACCAGCACUGACACUGAGGCACGAAAGCGUGGGGAGCAAACAGGAUUAGAUACCCCAGUAGUC